RNAcentral lists this ribosomal RNA (253 nucleotides) under uncultured bacterium. RNAcentral describes it as "partial 16S ribosomal RNA". It matches the Rfam family "Bacterial small subunit ribosomal RNA", at positions 524 to 776 of the family's 1533-position model. The record is from RNAcentral.
UACGUAGGGUGCAAGCGUUAUCCGGAAUUAUUGGGCGUAAAGAGUUCGUAGGCGGUUUGUCGCGUCUGCUGUGAAAACUGGAGGCUCAACCUCCAGCCUGCAGUGGGUACGGGCAGACUAGAGUGCGGUAGGGGAGAUUGGAAUUCCUGGUGUAGCGGUGGAAUGCGCAGAUAUCAGGAGGAACACCAAUGGCGAAGGCAGAUCUCUGGGCCGUAACUGACGCUGAGGAGCGAAAGCAUGGGGAGCGAACAGG